This is a long non-coding RNA of Pan troglodytes (chimpanzee), 583 nucleotides long. RefSeq lists it as uncharacterized. The record is from RefSeq and is a predicted model, not a curated record. Lineage: Eukaryota; Metazoa; Chordata; Mammalia; Primates; Hominidae. The transcript has 2 exons.
GGGCUUUAUGACAGGCUGUUGACGUGUACGAGGGAGAUGUGCAUGUCCUCUUCUCUGGGCUUCUGGAGGACUGGAGGGGACCUGUAGGUGGCCCUUUGGGGAAUGGGGAGAUUUUUAGAUCCUGAUGGAAUCUCUGGGAGCCUCCCCCAUCUUCCUAGUGAAGAUCCUGCUCCUGGUCCAGCCUUAUUCCCAGAUGAACAGUGGAUGCAGGAAGUCGUCAUUGCCUGCCAGACAGGCCACCUCCUGGGGCAGAGGCCAUGACCUUAACCACAAGUGUCCCGCCACCCCCCCCACCCUGACCCUCUGUCCCCCCCACCCCCACCCCUGCCCAGAGCUCCAGAGACUGAAAGGUUGAGACUGUCCUGGGAGGCGGAUGUGUGCAGGCCUGCCUGGCUGGGGACUUCCCCGGUCACCACCACCCACCCUCAUCCCAACAGGAAACCUGACAGGUCUGAGCCUUCCAGACACCCAUUGUGUGUGGCCUAGUGUGGGCUCCGAUGCUUCCCCUGUCAGGACUCCUGUCGCCCCUAGCCUCCUCCUGUCCCUUGACAAAGCUGGCUAUUAAAGAAAGUUCUAGACUGUU